This 2901-nucleotide ribosomal RNA is filed under the name Cronobacter sakazakii. RNAcentral describes it as "bacterial LSU rRNA". It matches the Rfam family "Bacterial large subunit ribosomal RNA". The record is from RNAcentral. Lineage: Bacteria; Pseudomonadati; Pseudomonadota; Gammaproteobacteria; Enterobacterales; Enterobacteriaceae.
UUAAGCGAACAAGCGUACACGGUGGAUGCCCUGGCAGUCAGAGGCGAUGAAGGACGUGCUAAUCUGCGAAAAGCGCCGGUAAGGUGAUAUGAACCGUUAUAACCGGCGAUGUCCGAAUGGGGAAACCCGGUGCACUUCGGUGCAUCAUCGUUAGCUGAAUACAUAGGCUAACGAGGCGAACCGGGGGAACUGAAACAUCUAAGUACCCCGAGGAAAAGAAAUCAACCGAGAUUCCCCCAGUAGCGGCGAGCGAACGGGGAACAGCCCAGAGCCUGAAUCAGCUUGUGUGUCAGUGGAACGGUCUGGAAAGGCCGGCGAUACAGGGUGACAGCCCCGUACACGAAGGCACACAGGCUGUGAGCUCGAUGAGUAGGGCGGGACACGUGAUAUCCUGUCUGAAGAUGGGGGGACCAUCCUCCAAGGCUAAAUACUCCUGACUGACCGAUAGUGAACCAGUACCGUGAGGGAAAGGCGAAAAGAACCCCGGCGAGGGGAGUGAAACAGAACCUGAAACCGUGUACGUACAAGCAGUGGGAGCCUUCGUAAGAGGGUGACUGCGUACCUUUUGUAUAAUGGGUCAGCGACUUAUAUUCUGUAGCAAGGUUAACCGUAUAGGGGAGCCGAAGGGAAACCGAGUCUUAACCGGGCGUUAAGUUGCAGGGUAUAGACCCGAAACCCGGUGAUCUAGCCAUGGGCAGGUUGAAGGUUGGGUAACACUAACUGGAGGACCGAACCGACUAAUGUUGAAAAAUUAGCGGAUGACCUGUGGCUGGGGGUGAAAGGCCAAUCAAACCGGGAGAUAGCUGGUUCUCCCCGAAAGCUAUUUAGGUAGCGCCUCGUGAACUCAUCUCCGGGGGUAGAGCACUGUUUCGGCUAGGGGGCCAUCCCGGCUUACCAACCCGAUGCAAACUGCGAAUACCGGAGAAUGUUAUCACGGGAGACACACGGCGGGUGCUAACGUCCGUCGUGAAGAGGGAAACAACCCAGACCGCCAGCUAAGGUCCCAAAGUCAUGGUUAAGUGGGAAACGAUGUGGGAAGGCCCAGACAGCCAGGAUGUUGGCUUAGAAGCAGCCAUCAUUUAAAGAAAGCGUAAUAGCUCACUGGUCGAGUCGGCCUGCGCGGAAGAUGUAACGGGGCUAAACCAUGCACCGAAGCUGCGGCAGCGACGCUUAUGCGUUGUUGGGUAGGGGAGCGUUCUGUAAGCCUGUGAAGGUGUGCUGUGAGGCAUGCUGGAGGUAUCAGAAGUGCGAAUGCUGACAUAAGUAACGAUAAAGCGGGUGAAAAGCCCGCUCGCCGGAAGACCAAGGGUUCCUGUCCAACGUUAAUCGGGGCAGGGUGAGUCGACCCCUAAGGCGAGGCCGAAAGGCGUAGUCGAUGGGAAACAGGUUAAUAUUCCUGUACUUGGUGUUACUGCGAAGGGGGGACGGAGAAGGCUAUGUCGGCCGGGCGACGGUUGUCCCGGUUUAAGCGUGUAGGCUGACUUUCCAGGCAAAUCCGGAAAGUUAAGGCUGAGGCGUGAUGACGAGGCACCACGGUGCUGAAGUGACAAAUGCCCUGCUUCCAGGAAAAGCCUCUAAGCAUCAGGUAACAUCAAAUCGUACCCCAAACCGACACAGGUGGUCAGGUAGAGAAUACCAAGGCGCUUGAGAGAACUCGGGUGAAGGAACUAGGCAAAAUGGUGCCGUAACUUCGGGAGAAGGCACGCUGACAUGUAGGUGAAGCCCCUGCGGGUGGAGCUGAAGUCAGUCGAAGAUACCAGCUGGCUGCAACUGUUUAUUAAAAACACAGCACUGUGCAAACACGAAAGUGGACGUAUACGGUGUGACGCCUGCCCGGUGCCGGAAGGUUAAUUGAUGGGGUUAUCGCAAGAGAAGCUCCUGAUCGAAGCCCCGGUAAACGGCGGCCGUAACUAUAACGGUCCUAAGGUAGCGAAAUUCCUUGUCGGGUAAGUUCCGACCUGCACGAAUGGCGUAAUGAUGGCCAGGCUGUCUCCACCCGAGACUCAGUGAAAUUGAACUCGCUGUGAAGAUGCAGUGUACCCGCGGCAAGACGGAAAGACCCCGUGAACCUUUACUACAGCUUGACACUGAACAUUGAGCCUUGAUGUGUAGGAUAGGUGGGAGGCUUUGAAGCGUGGACGCCAGUCUGCGUGGAGCCGACCUUGAAAUACCACCCUUUAAUGUUUGAUGUUCUAACCUGGCGCCGUAAUCCGGCGUGGGGACAGUGUCUGGUGGGUAGUUUGACUGGGGCGGUCUCCUCCCAAAGUGUAACGGAGGAGCACGAAGGUCAGCUAAUCCUGGUCGGACAUCAGGAGGUUAGUGCAAUGGCAUAAGCUGGCUUGACUGCGAGAGUGACGGCUCGAGCAGGUGCGAAAGCAGGUCAUAGUGAUCCGGUGGUUCUGUAUGGAAGGGCCAUCGCUCAACGGAUAAAAGGUACUCCGGGGAUAACAGGCUGAUACCGCCCAAGAGUUCAUAUCGACGGCGGUGUUUGGCACCUCGAUGUCGGCUCAUCACAUCCUGGGGCUGAAGUAGGUCCCAAGGGUAUGGCUGUUCGCCAUUUAAAGUGGUACGCGAGCUGGGUUUAGAACGUCGUGAGACAGUUCGGUCCCUAUCUGCCGUGGGCGCUGGAGAAUUGAGGGGGGCUGCUCCCAGUACGAGAGGACCGGAGUGGACGCAUCACUGGUGUUCGGGUUGUCAUGCCAAUGGCACUGCCCGGUAGCUAAAUGCGGAAGAGAUAAGUGCUGAAAGCAUCUAAGCACGAAACUUGCCCCGAGAUGAGUUCUCCCUGAGACUAUAAGUCUCCUGAAGGAACGUUGAAGACGACGACGUUGAUAGGCCGGGUGUGUAAGCGCAGCGAUGCGUUGAGCUAACCGGUACUAAUGAACCGUGAGGCUUAACCUU